RNAcentral lists this ribosomal RNA (444 nucleotides) under uncultured bacterium. RNAcentral describes it as "SSU rRNA". It matches the Rfam family "Bacterial small subunit ribosomal RNA", at positions 26 to 518 of the family's 1533-position model. The record is from RNAcentral.
AGAGCGAACGCUGGCGGCAGGCUUAACACAUGCAAGUCGAACGAACCCUUCGGGGUUAGUGGCGGACGGGUGAGUAACACGUGGGAACGUGCCCUUAGGUUCGGAACAACACAGGGAAACUUGUGCUAAUACCGGAUGUGCCCUUACGGGGAAAGAUUUAUCGCCAAAGGAUCGGCCCGCGUCUGAUUAGCUAGUUGGUGAGGUAACGGCUCACCAAGGCGACGAUCAGUAGCUGGUCUGAGAGGAUGAUCAGCCUCACUGGGACUGAGACACGGCCCAGACUCCUACGGGAGGCAGCAGUGGGGAAUAUUGGACAAUGGGCGCAAGCCUGAUCCAGCCAUGCCGCGUGGGUGAUGAAGGCCCUAGGGUUGUAAAGCCCGUUUCGGCGGGGAAGAUAAUGACGGUACCGCAGAAGAAGCCCGGCUAACUCGCGCCAGCAGCCGC